RNAcentral lists this transfer-messenger RNA (179 nucleotides) under Candidatus Pelagibacter sp. It matches the Rfam family "Alphaproteobacteria transfer-messenger RNA", at positions 40 to 239 of the family's 355-position model. From Rfam's summary of the family: Bacterial tmRNA, also known as 10Sa RNA or SsrA, is named for its dual tRNA and mRNA-like properties. Its role is to liberate the mRNA from a stalled ribosome. The record is from RNAcentral. Lineage: Bacteria; Pseudomonadati; Pseudomonadota; Alphaproteobacteria; Candidatus Pelagibacterales; Candidatus Pelagibacteraceae.
GCCUGCUUGCCAACUAUGACGAUAAACAAAUUUCGUAAUAACUAUUACGGACGUGGGUGCAGUACCCACCACGUCCAUUAAUACAACUUAUGUGUGAAAUAAGAUCGACGGGCGUCUAAAGGCUAUUCUUUUGUUUGGGAUUGUUCCACCUUAAUAGGCUAAUUUAUAAUUACUAACGA